UCCCUGGUGGUCCAGUGGUUAAGACUCUGCACUUCCAAUGCAAGGAUCACAGGUUCAAUCCCUGGUUGUGGAA
This 73-nucleotide transfer RNA is filed under the name Bos taurus (domestic cattle). It matches the Rfam family "tRNA". From Rfam's summary of the family: Transfer RNA (tRNA) molecules are approximately 80 nucleotides in length. RNAcentral also lists the same sequence under 2 other names. Lineage: Eukaryota; Metazoa; Chordata; Mammalia; Artiodactyla; Bovidae. The record is from Rfam by way of RNAcentral.